ACGGGUGAGUAAUGUCUGGGGAUCUGCCCGAUAGAGGGGGAUAACCACUGGAAACGGUGGCUAAUACCGCAUAACGUCGCAAGACCAAAGAGGGGGACCUUCGGGCCUCUCACUAUCGGAUGAACCCAGAUGGGAUUAGCUAGUAGGCGGGGUAACGGCCCACCUAGGCGACGAUCCCUAGCUGGUCUGAGAGGAUGACCAGCCACACUGGAACUGAGACACGGUCCAGACUCCUACGGGAGGCAGCAGUGGGGAAUAUUGCACAAUGGGCGCAAGCCUGAUGCAGCCAUGCCGCGUGUAUGAAGAAGGCCUUCGGGUUGUAAAGUACUUUCAGCGGGGAGGAAGGCAGUGAGGUUAAUAACCUUACUGAUUGACGUUACCCGCAGGAGAAGCACCGGCUAACUCCGUGCCAGCAGCCGCGGUAAUACGGAGGGUGCAAGCGUUAAUCGGAAUUACUGGGCGUAAAGCGCACGCAGGCGGUCUGUUAAGUCAGAUGUGAAAUCCCCGGGCUUAACCUGGGAACUGCAUUUGAAACUGGCAGGCUUGAGUCUCGUAGAGGGGGGUAGAAUUCCAGGUGUAGC
Molecule: ribosomal RNA, 581 nt
Filed under: uncultured bacterium
Lineage: Bacteria
Description: bacterial SSU rRNA
Rfam family: Bacterial small subunit ribosomal RNA
Source: RNAcentral